This 904-nucleotide ribosomal RNA is filed under the name bacterium enrichment culture clone L:1950:Cu:2. Its description in RNAcentral is "bacterial SSU rRNA". It matches the Rfam family "Bacterial small subunit ribosomal RNA", at positions 9 to 873 of the family's 1533-position model. The record is from RNAcentral.
AGAGUUUGAUCCUGGCUCAGGACGAACGCUGGCGGCGUGCCUAACACAUGCAAGUCGAACGGAGAAUUUCAAUAAGUUUACUUAGAGAAAUUCUUAGUGGCGGACGGGUGAGUAACGCGUGGGUAACCUACCCAUAAAAUCGGGACAACCCUUGGAAACGAGGGCUAAUACCGAAUAAUCUUAGAUGCUGGCAUCAGCGCCUAAGGAAAGAUGGCCUCUGAGUAUGCUAUCGAUUAUGGAUGGACCCGCGUCUGAUUAGCUAGUUGGUGGGGUAAAGGCCUACCAAGGCGACGAUCAGUAGCCGGCCUGAGAGGGUGAACGGCCACACUGGGACUGAGACACGGCCCAGACUCCUACGGGAGGCAGCAGUGGGGAAUCUUCCGCAAUGGACGAAAGUCUGACGGAGCAACGCCGCGUGUAUGAUGAAGGUCUUCGGAUUGUAAAGUACUGUCUUUGGGGAAGAACGGUCUCUUUGAGAAUAUUGAGGGGACAUGACGGUACCCAAGGAGGAAGCCCCGGCUAACUACGUGCCAGCAGCCGCGGUAAUACGUAGGGGGCAAGCGUUGUCCGGAAUUAUUGGGCGUAAAGGGCGCGUAGGCGGAUAUUUAAGUCCGGUGUGAAAGAUCAGGGCUCAACCCUGAGAGUGCAUCGGAAACUGGGUAUCUUGAGGACAGGAGAGGAAAGUGGAAUUCCACGUGUAGCGGUGAAAUGCGUAGAUAUGUGGAGGAACACCAGUGGCGAAGGCGACUUUCUGGACUGUAACUGACGCUGAGGCGCGAAAGCGUGGGGAGCAAACAGGAUUAGAUACCCUGGUAGUCCACGCCGUAAACGAUGAGUGCUAGGUGUAGAGGGUAUCGACCCCUUCUGUGCCGCAGUUAACACAAUAAGCACUCCGCCUGGGAGU